GGCCGAUGACUUUCAACACACAAUAAAACAAUAUUUGAACUGAUGAUUUCAAUGCUGUUCGCGUUCACUAUGCGGUUACGAGACAACAACCUCUAGCCAGCAAAUACGGAUACAAGACUUUGUAGCACCGGAAAACAUUGACCAGGAAACGUUUUGGUUUGUGUGCUUCGUGAUUGUUACGGCGGUCAUAGCGUGGGGGAAACGCCCGGUCCCAUACCGAACCCGGAAGCUAAGGCCCACUGCGCCGAUGGUACUGCACUCGUGAGGGUGUGGGAGAGUAGGUCACCGCCGGAC
RNAcentral lists this ribosomal RNA (294 nucleotides) under Arthrobacter sp. JUb115. Lineage: Bacteria; Bacillati; Actinomycetota; Actinomycetes; Micrococcales; Micrococcaceae. The record is from RNAcentral.